UACGUAGGGGGCGAGCGUUGUCCGGAAUCAUUGGGCGUAAAGCGCGUGUAGGCGGCCCGGUAAGUCCGCUGUGAAAGUCCAGGGCUCAACCCUGGGAUGCCGGUGGAUACUGUCGGGCUCGAGUCCGGAAGAGGCGAGUGGAAUUCCUGGUGUAGCGGUGAAAUGCGCAGAUAUCAGGAGGAACACCGGUGGCGAAGGCGGAUCUCUGGGCCGAUACUGACGCUGAGGAGCGAAAGCGUGGGGAGCGAACAGG
Molecule: ribosomal RNA, 253 nt
Filed under: uncultured bacterium
Lineage: Bacteria
Description: partial 16S ribosomal RNA
Rfam family: Bacterial small subunit ribosomal RNA
Source: RNAcentral